CCUACGGGACGCACCAGAGGGGAAUAUUGCACAAUGGGCGCAAGCCUGAUGCAGCCAUGCCGCGUGUAUGAAGAAGGCCUUCGGGCUGUAAAGUACUUUCAGCGGGGAGGAAGGCGGAGAGGUUAAUAACCUCAUCGAUUGACGUUACCCGCAGAAGAAGCACCGGCUAACUCCGUGCCAGCAGCCGCGGUAAUACGGAGGGUGCAAGCGUUAAUCGGAAUUACUGGGCGUAAAGCGCACGCAGGCGGUCUGUCAAGUCGGAUGUGAAAUCCCCGGGCUCAACCUGGGAACUGCAUUCGAAACUGGCAGGCUAGAGUAUUGUAGAGGGGGGUAGAGUUCCAGGUGUAGCGGUGAAAUGCGUAGAGAUCUGGAGGAAUACCGGUGGCGAAGGCGGCCCCCUGGACAAAGACUGACGCUCAGGUGCGAAAGCGUGGGGAGCAAACAGGAUUAGAUACCCCCGUAGUC
Molecule: ribosomal RNA, 465 nt
Filed under: uncultured bacterium
Lineage: Bacteria
Description: bacterial SSU rRNA
Rfam family: Bacterial small subunit ribosomal RNA
Source: RNAcentral